Molecule: transfer RNA, 83 nt
Filed under: Phlebiopsis gigantea 11061_1 CR5-6
Lineage: Eukaryota; Fungi; Basidiomycota; Agaricomycetes; Polyporales; Phanerochaetaceae
Rfam family: tRNA
About the family: Transfer RNA (tRNA) molecules are approximately 80 nucleotides in length. Their secondary structure includes four short double-helical elements and three loops (D, anti-codon, and T loops).
Source: Rfam by way of RNAcentral
GUCCUUGUCGAUUAGUGGUUAGAUCAUCACGUUGUGGUAAACGCAAAUCCGUGAAGACGGAGGCUCGAAUCCUCCCUGGGACA